RNAcentral lists this ribosomal RNA (537 nucleotides) under Aspergillus fumigatus. Its description in RNAcentral is "eukaryotic LSU rRNA". The stretch from base 157 to 310 matches the Rfam family "5.8S ribosomal RNA". Lineage: Eukaryota; Fungi; Ascomycota; Eurotiomycetes; Eurotiales; Aspergillaceae. The record is from RNAcentral.
CCACCCGUGUCUAUCGUACCUUGUUGCUUCGGCGGGCCCGCCGUUUCGACGGCCGCCGGGGAGGCCUUGCGCCCCCGGGCCCGCGCCCGCCGAAGACCCCAACAUGAACGCUGUUCUGAAAGUAUGCAGUCUGAGUUGAUUAUCGUAAUCAGUUAAAACUUUCAACAACGGAUCUCUUGGUUCCGGCAUCGAUGAAGAACGCAGCGAAAUGCGAUAAGUAAUGUGAAUUGCAGAAUUCAGUGAAUCAUCGAGUCUUUGAACGCACAUUGCGCCCCCUGGUAUUCCGGGGGGCAUGCCUGUCCGAGCGUCAUUGCUGCCCUCAAGCACGGCUUGUGUGUUGGGCCCCCGUCCCCCUCUCCCGGGGGACGGGCCCGAAAGGCAGCGGCGGCACCGCGUCCGGUCCUCGAGCGUAUGGGGCUUUGUCACCUGCUCUGUAGGCCCGGCCGGCGCCAGCCGACACCCAACUUUAUUUUUCUAAGGUUGACCUCGGAUCAGGUAGGGAUACCCGCUGAACUUAAGCAUAUCAAUAAGCGGAGG